Molecule: ribosomal RNA, 2034 nt
Filed under: Calkinsia aureus
Lineage: Eukaryota; Euglenozoa; Symbiontida; Postgaardida; Calkinsiidae
Description: bacterial SSU rRNA
Rfam family: Eukaryotic small subunit ribosomal RNA
Source: RNAcentral
UAGUCAUAUGCUUGCUUCAAGGACUAAGCCAUGCAAGUGUCGAGUAAAUAGUCUAACUGUUGAUCUGCGUACGGCUCAUUAUAACAGUCGUAAUCUCCCUGCAUUUGUGGCUUUAACAAGCGAUCAAGUGGAUAACUUCCUGGUAAAUCCGAAGCUAAUACAUGGACGACAGUUCGAACAGUGCCAGCUUGCUGCAGGGAAUGGUCUCUGAUCAGACCCUGACUGUUCGAAGCUUAUGGGUUCAAGAGAAACUGGUCAAUAAGAUUGAAUCUCCUCUGGUAUGAGCCCAUUCUGUACAAGGAUUUACUCUGUAGAACCGUGUGCGGUUGAGCGACUGACCUAUCAGCUUGUUUGCAAUGUAUUGGAUUGCAAAGGCUUUGACGGGUAACGGAGAAUUAGGGUUCGAUUCCGGAGAGGGAGCCUGAGAGACGGCUGCCGUGUCCAAGGACAACAGCAGGCGCGCAAAUUGCCCAAUACUAGCAUGAGCGAGGCAGCGACGAGAAGUACUUACCUUUUGCUCGUCUAGGGUCUUAAGGAAAGCAUGAGUGGUAUCCAAAAACACCACUGAACUCGAUUGGAGGGCAAGUCUAGUGCCAGCAGCCGCGGUAAUUCCAGCUUCAAUAGCGUAUACUAAUGCUGUUGCUGUUAAAAAGCUCGUAGUUUGACAAGGAUUGAUUCUGCACUGUGGUUGUGCCUGUUGUCGCCUAGACAGCGAGGUUUCAGUCGUUGGGCAUAUGGAUUGAUUCUCUAUAACGGUCUUGUUUGAUGAAGUGUUCUUCACUGAACAUGGAAUCGUCUCCGCAGUCAACAUCUGUACAAGAACUUGACCGUUGUGAUACCGUGAACAAAACAGCGUGCUCAAGGCAAAGCGCAAUGCUCGAAUGUUCAAGCAUGGAAUAUCAAGGAAGCGACUGUUCUGAUGCUAUUUGCUGGUUUCUGUAUCUGCAACAGAGAACUGGAUCUGAGACAAAGUGGGUCGAUCAGCUGUGGCCUCCGGGUUCGCACUGGUCGUCUCGAGUCUUUGGUUCACCGGUAUUAACAGGGGUGAACGGAGCGGUACGUAUUGGCACGCGAGAGGUGAAAUUCUUAGACCGUGCCAAGACGAACUUAAGCGAAGGCAUUCCGCAAGUAUACCUUCAUUGAUCAAGAACGAGAGUGUAGGGAUCGAAGAUGAUCAGAUACCGUCGUAGUCUGCACUGUAAACGAUGCGAACUCGGGGUCAGCUGCGGAAUCUGUUAUCAGAUGACAAGGUUGACACCAUUCUAUUCUCUCCUAGCGCGAAAGCUCUAAGUUUCUGCGUUCAGGGGGGAGUACAGUUGCAAGGCUGAAACUUAAAGGAAUUGACGGAAUGACACCACAAGGCGUGGAUGCUGCGGCUUAAUUUGACUCAACACGGGAAAUCUUACCAGAUCAGGACGCCCGGUGGAUUGACAGAUUGAAAGCUCUUUCUUGAUCAUGUGAAUGGUGGUGCAUGGCCGCUCCUGGUUGGUGGAGUGAUUUGUCUGGUUGAUUCCGUUAACGAACGAGAUCUUGACCCUUCAAUGACAGUUGGAUCGACGUAAUCUCAUGUUCGAAGCCAGGCUUUGUCAUUGGAUGAGAUCCACACAUGUACUCAAGGGGACGAUGCAUGAAUACCAAUGCGUGGAAGUCCGAGCCAAUAGCAGGUCUGUGAUGCUCCUAGAUGUUCUGGGCUGCAUGCGGCAUACAAUGACGAUGUAAACGAGUUUGGCUUAUAUCUACGAGCCCCUUCUCGGAAACGAGUGGGGAAUCUGUGUAAGCUUCGUCGUAUUGGGGAUAGUUGCUUGCAAUUAUCUGCCUUGAACCAGGAAUGCCUCGUAAGGUCAACUCAGCAAAUUGACCUGAAUACGUCCCUGCCGUUUGUACACACCGCCCGUCGUUGCAAUCGAUCGGCUCCGUGCUAGAGAUCUUCUGGAGAUUGUCUUACUUGUUCAGAUCUCGGUCUGAUCAUUCUGACUGUCGAAGUCGUUCGAUAGUACUGAGCUAGAGAAUGCAAAAGUCGUAACAAGGUUGCUG